Molecule: ribosomal RNA, 253 nt
Filed under: uncultured bacterium
Lineage: Bacteria
Description: partial 16S ribosomal RNA
Rfam family: Bacterial small subunit ribosomal RNA
Source: RNAcentral
UACGAAGGGGGCUAGCGUUGCUCGGAAUCACUGGGCGUAAAGGGUGCGUAGGCGGGUCUUUAAGUCAGGGGUGAAAUCCUGGAGCUCAACUCCAGAACUGCCUUUGAUACUGAAGAUCUUGAGUUCGGGAGAGGUGAGUGGAACUGCGAGUGUAGAGGUGAAAUUCGUAGAUAUUCGCAAGAACACCAGGGGCGAAGGCGGCUCACGGGCCCGAUACUGACGCUGAGGUGCGAAAGCGUGGGGAGCAAACAGG